AGGAACACCAUUGUAACCAUCACAAGAGGUCAAGGAAAAAUCGAGUGCAUCAAAGGCACGAAGGAAGCGAGGUGAGGUACGAGGGUUUACAGACACAAGACACAUUGCCUUCAAUCACUUCAAUCCCCUUUUUAUGUACCCGGCGCCCCCGGUUUCGGUUUCCCUAUAAUGGCGGCCUCACAUCUAUACAAGCGGGUGACUGGCGUUGUGCAAUGUUCAGAUUGAGGCAAGACAAAAAAGGCGCAAACAAGCCUUGUCUGGCACGCGCUAAUUAGCAUACAGUGACGUCACCAGGCUGCUAAUCGAUGGCCCGGUAAUGUCAAACGGCAUGUAGGUAAAACAGGGUGGGUUGUAGAAGAUGUCGCUGGCAGCUGCUCUCAAGGAGGAGACACACUCCGCAGGUGAAAGUGAGGAUGGCCGCGAGCGGUGUUCGUCGAGAAAGUGAUCGACUGGUUUAUUUUCUUCUCUGUUUUCAUUCAAGAGGCGUUCUUUAAAGCUGGUUGGCCUAUAUUCAAUAAAUAAAAGAAAAGAGAAGAAGAUACAAAGAAGAAAAGCAAGAACAUAGUGGACAAGACUGGCGGCGAAUACGGAGCUUUCAUGUUCUUGUUGCGAAGACGUCCUCAACCAUCGACUGCUGAUGACAUUUUUAAAAAAAAUGGGAAUAACGGAAGAUCACGAGCAACACCUGAUGAAAUUUAAGAUAUAGAAAGUAGCAUCAUCAGCUUCAUCGCAUGCAUCAUCAUCAGAGCCCCACAUACAAGUAGUUCAUUCCCUAGCAAUCCUCAUCCUUCUGUGUUAAUAUAAAACAAACUUGCUGUCUACAUCACUCAUUCAUUCAUCCCAUUACUGGUAUCAGCUGACAAACGGAUAUGAUGGUCCUCUCGGGGAUGGGGAGGAGUUGGGGGAGUUGGAUAGAUGCCGCGGUUGACAUGACUCACGAAAGGAACAAAUAAAACAUAAAUAAAAAAAAUACAAAUAAAAAAGAGAGAGAGAGUUUGGAAAACUAUUGUAAGAAGCACGGAAGAGACCAAGAGAUCAGACGAGCUCACAAAAUGAUGCUGCAGACAUGUGAUGCAGUCAUCUAGCACAUGCCGUAAACUGGAAAUAGUUGCUUACUAGGAUUGGCCGAGCGGCAAGCAUUGAAAGGGAGCCGCUAGAAGCGGUUGGCAAAAGACGGAGGGCAAACAGCCAUCGAUCCCCUCAGCCUCAGCAUCUCUCACGGCACUGCCGCCCCCCUACGUACCUUGCCCACGUCGCCUGCUGUCUGCAGCAGCUGUUUGCGUCUGGCCAAGCAACUCGCUGGAGGGUUUGACGAGGUUCCAAAGUGACAAGGAGGGUGGCGUGAGCACAGUUUGACGUGGCUUUGGGAGGAAAUAAGGGCAGAGAUAUUCGAUGUCUUUUGGAGGAAUAAGGCAGGGCAUACAGCUUGACAACGUUGGGGCAGGACAGGGCAGGACAGGACAGGGCAGGACAGGGCAGGACAGGGCAGGACAGGGCAGGACAGGGCAAUGGUUGACGUCGCAGGUACUUAGAAGGCAACAGACAACUUGCCUGAAGCUGUGUCUCUGACACCAGGAUUCACCAGCAAGAAACAACCUGCAGACUAAAUUAAUUGUACACUAACAUAAUAAAAUACACACGAGUCGUUCCCUUACUGUCAGAGCACGUGUAUGCGUGCGUGUCGAGCGCAUGUUUCUUCAAUUUGCAGAUUAAACACCUGACUGGUCAGCAGACUGAAGAUGACACCCUGGGAGCAAAGGUCAUGAUCAGACUGUCUCUUGCCGAUCGUGCUAAUCGAUAAAGCCGUUGACUAAUGUCUCAGAGCAGACACAUCAAUAAUUGUUCUUCUCCCGUCGUCAGAGCUUUCGUCUGGUUUUCCAUUUAAUCUUUGGGUGACACUGAAGUUGAAAAUAUUGGGGAAAAGAUAUCGGAAUAAUAAUAAUAAUAAUAAUAAUAAUAAUAAUAAUAAUAAUAAUAAUAAUAAUAAUAAUACGAUAUGACCAAGAUGACGCAAAAAUAAAACAAAUUCUUACAAAUUAAUGUAAAAUAAUAAUUUAUUAUCUCUGAAAUCUGAUCUCCACAUGAAUGUCACGUAAUCCCAUACAUAAUCUGUGUUUUAUCGUUGGUUUGCCGUUUCUUGAGUGCAAAGAGGAUGAGGUUCAGAUUUCGCCUCGGGCAGGCUUUACUUUCUUUGCACGUGGAACGUUUCUCGGGCAGGCAUGCUUUGCCACGUGACACAACGUGCUUCUGCUUCCACGUGAACCGUAGUUCCCAUCUCUCCAGUCGCCACCCGGUUACUUCCUGUCACGUGUGGGCUAAGUACCCGCAGAGCUAUGGCGGACUCUGCACCCUCGUGACGUGGCUGUGGAUAAGUGGAUACAAAAGCAAGCAUCGCGUGCACUCUUCAAAAGUUUACAGGAAAGAUUACAGAACAACACGCUUGGCUGCCCGGCUGAUCAUGAAAGAUUGGCCACAACACAAAGGUCGCAUUUGAUUAGCUUCUCCUCAGAAAGGACCGCUAGCCUUAAAAUCUGCGUCCAGCUCGCAGACAGCAGCACUUGCCCCGCGAGACCUGCUGUAGGUCUGCACUUGUCCAUAAAACAUUCACAAAGUUGGCAAAAACAAUUUUGAAAUGCAACAGAAAUAGUUGUAAUUGCAUGUGACCCUUGCUUUACUUUUUACAAUAAUAUUGAAAACAGUGGUAAAGAUGUAGAUAAUAAUGAGUGGCCCUGGAAAACCUGUAGCCGUGUGCAAAAAAAAAAA
RNAcentral lists this long non-coding RNA (2763 nucleotides) under Pomacea canaliculata. RNAcentral's name for it is "uncharacterized LOC112574942". Lineage: Eukaryota; Metazoa; Mollusca; Gastropoda; Architaenioglossa; Ampullariidae. The record is from RNAcentral.